Molecule: ribosomal RNA, 469 nt
Filed under: uncultured bacterium
Lineage: Bacteria
Description: partial 16S ribosomal RNA
Rfam family: Bacterial small subunit ribosomal RNA
Source: RNAcentral
GACGAACGCUGGCGGCGUGCUUAACACAUGCAAGUCGAACGGAAAGGCCCUGCUUGCAGGGUGCUCGAGUGGCGAACGGGUGAGUAACACGUGGGUGAUCUGCCCCUUAUUUUGGGAUAAGCCUUGGAAACUGGGUCUAAUACUGGAUAGGACCAUGCUGUAGGUGGUGUGGUGGAAAGAUUAGUUUCGGUAAGGGAUGAGCUCGCGGCCUAUCAGCUUGUUGGUGGGGUAAUGGCCUACCAAGGCGUCGACGGGUAGCCGGCCUGAGAGGGUGGACGGCCACAUUGGGACUGAGAUACGGCCCAGACUCCUACGGGAGGCAGCAGUGGGGAAUAUUGCACAAUGGGCGCAAGCCUGAUGCAGCGACGCCGCGUGGGGGAUGACGGCCUUCGGGUUGUAAACUCCUUUCAGCCAUGACGAAGCCCUUGUGGUGACGGUAGUGGUAGAAGAAGCACCGGCUAACUACGUG